UGGGGAAUUUUCCGCAAUGAGGGCGAAAGCCUGACGGAGCAAUACCGCGUGAGGGAAGAAGGUCUUUGGAUCGUAAACCUCUUUUCUCAGGGAAGAAGUUCUGACGGUACCUGAGGAAUAAGCCUCGGCUAACUCCGUGCCAGCAGCCGCGGUAAUACGGAGGAGGCAAGCGUUAUCCGGAAUUAUUGGGCGUAAAGCGUUCGCAGGUGGCUCGUCAAGUCUGCUGUCAAAGACCGGAGCUUAACUCCGGGUAGGCGGUGGAAACUGAAGAAGCCAUAGAGUGCGGUAGGGGUAGAGGGAAUUCCCAGUGUAGCGGUGUUGAAAUGCGUAGAGAUUGGGAAGAACACCGGUGGCGAAAGCGCUCUACUAGGCCGCAACUGACACUCAGGGACGAAAGCUAAGGGGGGAGCGAAUGGGAUUAGAUACCCCAGUAGU
This 435-nucleotide ribosomal RNA is filed under the name uncultured cyanobacterium. RNAcentral's name for it is "bacterial SSU rRNA". It matches the Rfam family "Bacterial small subunit ribosomal RNA", at positions 355 to 794 of the family's 1533-position model. The record is from RNAcentral. Lineage: Bacteria; Bacillati; Cyanobacteriota.